GUACUCGCUUCGGCAGCACAUAUACUAAAACUGAAACAAUACAGAGAAGAUUAGCAUGGCCCCUGCGCAAGAAUGAUACACAAAUUCGUGAAGCAUUCCAUAUUUAA
This is a small nuclear RNA of Carlito syrichta (Philippine tarsier), 107 nucleotides long. Lineage: Eukaryota; Metazoa; Chordata; Mammalia; Primates; Tarsiidae. The record is from Ensembl.